GAUGAACGCUAGCUACAGGCUUAACACAUGCAAGUCGAGGGGCAGCAUUUUAGUUUGCUUGCAAACUAAAGAUGGCGACCGGCGCACGGGUGAGUAACACGUAUCCAACCUGCCGAUAACUCGGGGAUAGCCUUUCGAAAGAAAGAUUAAUAUCCGAUAGUAUAUUAAAACCGCAUGGUUUUACUAUUAAAGAAUUUCGGUUAUCGAUGGGGAUGCGUUCCAUUAGGUAGUAGGCGGGGUAACGGCCCACCUAGCCUGCGAUGGAUAGGGGUUCUGAGAGGAAGGUCCCCCACAUUGGAACUGAGACACGGUCCAAACUCCUACGGGAGGCAGCAGUGAGGAAUAUUGGUCAAUGGACGAGAGUCUGAACCAGCCAAGUAGCGUGCAGGAUGACGGCCCUAUGGGUUGUAAACUGCUUUUAUAAGGGAAUAAAGUGAGUCUCGUGAGACUUUUUGCAUGUACCUUAUGAAUAAGGACCGGCUAAUUCCGUG
RNAcentral lists this ribosomal RNA (491 nucleotides) under uncultured bacterium. Its description in RNAcentral is "bacterial SSU rRNA". It matches the Rfam family "Bacterial small subunit ribosomal RNA", at positions 28 to 507 of the family's 1533-position model. The record is from RNAcentral.